GACAAUAUCUAUUGGCUGUGGAGGUGCCUCUUAAAAUUGUAAUGCUUUUGAGCAUUUGGAGCUUAUGUGCUUUUAGCUAAUUUUGGUUAGAUUUCGCUAUUAAAUAUGGGAAGCUCUCGUUCAUCGCGAAGCCCAUUAAAACGGCACCAUCAUAAAAGCAAGCAUAAAAAGAGAGGAAAAGACCGGGAUAGACGUAAGAAUGGUGUGCAUGGAAGUGAUCGGUCUGAAGAAAAAUAUCGGAAUACUAUUUCUAUAAAUAAAAAAAAUAAAUGCAAGGACUCUAUAAAUCAUGAAUUUGAAAAAGAUGUUCGGGAAACUAGUCAUUCAAAAUAUAGAAAACAGACGUAUAUUGCCAAUAGCUCUAGUGACAGUCAAGAUUCGGAAGAAUAUUGCACUUAUAGGGUUGACAAAAAACGUAAGCGACAAAAAGAAAUUGAAACAAGUCUUGACGAACAAAUCAACAGAACUAAGCGACAAGAAGAUGAAGAGAGGCAGAUAAUUAAAGAUGAGACCAGUAAGCGCAUUGAGCUAUUGGUUAAAAAACGUGUAGAAGAAGAACUAAUAAGGCGUAAGGAUGAAAUUGAAAAAGAAGUAAUGCGUAGAGUAGAAGCCGCCAAAUCUGAAAUGGAGAGGGAGCUGAUGUUCGAAUUGGAAAAACAACGGGAGCAAAUUCGUGAAGAAGCUCGUCAUCGAGAGGAGUUCGAGAAAAAGAAAAGAGAGGAACUGGAAGAUAUAUUUGCUGAAAACAACCGAAGAAUAGAAGAAGCCCAACGGAAAUUGGGCUAUCAUCACAACACCGAUGAUGCGUCGUUAAAUGUGGCCAAACAAAAUGUGCUGCUGCCUGGCGUGGUUGGUUUGAUAUAGAGCGAGGAUGCAAUCGAUGCGGUUAAUAAAGGUCUAUACUGAGUUCGGGUUGCCGUCAAAUCUUUCUACGUCCCCUAUUGGGCUGAAGAACGAUUAGCGAUGAUAGAAGAGCAACGUCUCAUGGAAGAGAAACGUCAGCGAAUGCGUAAAGAAGAAGAAAAGCGUG
This 1030-nucleotide unclassified non-coding RNA is filed under the name Bactrocera tryoni. RNAcentral's name for it is "uPF0430 protein CG31712, transcript variant X1". The record is from RNAcentral. Lineage: Eukaryota; Metazoa; Arthropoda; Insecta; Diptera; Tephritidae.